RNAcentral lists this long non-coding RNA (942 nucleotides) under Phascolarctos cinereus (koala). RNAcentral's name for it is "lncRNA (ENSPCIG00000011043.2)". The stretch from base 571 to 643 matches the Rfam family "mir-122 microRNA precursor family". Lineage: Eukaryota; Metazoa; Chordata; Mammalia; Diprotodontia; Phascolarctidae. The record is from RNAcentral.
AAAAAAAUCAAGCCAGGAUUUCCCAUUUGUGCUUGCUGUGUUUGGCCAAAGGUGACUCUAACUUAGUGGCCUGAGGUCAACCUCCCCCUCCCCCAAAUCAAUAAUUUAAUGUGACUUAUCAGAAAGAGAAAGAAGUGUUUACUUUAAAACCCUGGAUCCCAUAAAGGGAGAGGGGGAAAGGCUCAGGGGAACAGAUGCUCCAGAGGGCCCUGUUUUUGCCUUUGAGCUGCAGAAAGGUAAGCAAGGAGAAGGCUCCUGAGAGAGGGUGCAGCUAGCACUAAGAGAGAUACAGGGUGCGACAAGGCCUGGUCACCAUUCAGAUGAGAACUUGGGACAGACACUGCAAAGGAGAAGCUCCCCACCACGCAGCCACUCUUGGAGGUGGAUUCUUAACAAGUGAUAACUGCCACCCAGCUGGAAGAGUGGAGAGGUCUACACCUCCACUAUGGCCUCAAACAAUGAAAGGGUAACACAUAAGGGUCUGGAGAGUUCCUUUUUGGUGGGCCUGUGUGGCAGUGCUGGCAUGCAGAGGUGCAGCUGACAUCUGUCAGGCUGUGCGUUAUCUCCAGCCAGAGCUAUGGAGUGUGACAAUGGUGUUUGUGUCCCGUCUAUCAAACGCCAUUAUCACACUAAAUAGCUACUGUUGGGCAAUCCAUCUGUUCAGGGAAGAGCACGUCAAGCAUCACAUUAUCUGCUGAGGAUGGACAACACCAAGUUAUGCUCACAUCAGUGUCCCCCCCUCCUCGUUCUUGGGUGCCAAAGUAAUUUCUGAAAUGGUGGGCUCGUAACAUGUAUGUUCUCUGAGAGCCAGAAUUUUCUCAACUUUGCCUUUUAUCCAUUGCCAUCAAUGGAUGGUUUCUUGUAGGAUGUAAGCUCCUUGAGGGCAGAGAUUGUUUUGUUUUCAUUUUCAUCUUUGUAUCCCCAGCUUAUCACAGCAUCUGG